CGAAUCGUUCACAAUGGGGGCAACCCUGAUGGCGCGACGCCGCGUGGGGGAUGAAGGUCUUCGGAUUGUAAACUCCUGUCAUUGGGGACUAAUGGCCAGGCUCAUACCCUGGGUUUGAAUUAACCCAAAGAGGAAGCAGUGGCUAACUCUGUGCCAGCAGCCGCGGUAAUACAGAGACUGCAAGCGUUACUCGGAUUCACUGGGCGUAAAGGGAGCGCAGGCGGACUGGUGUGUCAGGCGUGAAAUCUCGGGGCUCAACCCCGAGGCUGCGCCCGAAACUACUAGUCUAGAGACUUGGAGGGGUAAGCGGAGUUCUUGGUGGAGCAGAGAAAUGCGUAGAUAUCAAGAGGAACACCAACGGCGAAGGCAGCUUACUGGACAAGAUCUGACGCUCAGGCUCGAAAGCGUGGGGAGCAAAAGGGAUUAUAUACCCCUGUAGUCCACGCUGUAAACGGUGCGCAUUAGGUCUCGGAGCUUUCGAACGCUUCGGGGCUCAAGCUAACGCAUUAAAUGCGCCGCCUGAGGACUACGGCCGCAAGGCUAAAACUCAAAGGAAUUGACGG
This 563-nucleotide ribosomal RNA is filed under the name uncultured bacterium. RNAcentral describes it as "bacterial SSU rRNA". It matches the Rfam family "Bacterial small subunit ribosomal RNA", at positions 358 to 916 of the family's 1533-position model. The record is from RNAcentral.